GCCUGACCUGACCUAAACAUGGGUUGUGGUGGUGCGCUUAGGAGAUGGGGUUUCAGGAUGGGGUGGAGACUUCCUGGGAUUUGCCGCUAAUCAGGACAGCGGGCCAAGGCCUCCCUCUCCCUCCCCUCCCUCAGACCUUAUCUCAGCUUGUCCUCUGGCCAGGGUUCUGGGAGUGGGGGAUGGGUGCAGGCGUGAUGCCCUGGCUGGGGCAGGGGCAUGGGUGGGUCCCCAGGGCUUCCUAAGGGACUGAGCCAGCCCUUCCUCCUCAGGCCUCAGCCCCGCCCCCCCCCCACCAGCAACCCACUUACAAAGGCCCAGGAGGUCCAGCCAUGGCCAACCCCCAGGAGCCCAGGGGUGGGGGGUUGGAACCUGGCUGGACCUCCAGGGUCCUGGCUGCCCCUUGACCUGUUCCCAGUUGCCAGGGGACCGGUGGGUGUGACUAUGCCUGGGAGGCGCAGGUGAGGGGCCCUCCUGCUCCCACGCCUAGUCCUCACAGGUGAGGGAAAGAGGUACCCGUUAAAGCUGGACCCCACUUCCCACCCCGGUUCUGACCAGGACUGGCCAAGGCCUGGUCUGGCAAGGGACACCCUUGAGUGGACAUUGGUUCAAACUUUUUUUCCCAGCUCCAUUUAACUGAACCCCAGUGCCCUGUGUUCAGCUCCCUGUGUCCCACCCUCUCCGCCUCUGCCCCCACCCCAGUGCCAGGUGUGUGCCCUGUGACCUCCUCUGGCCUCUGCCCUGGCUCCUACCCAUCCUCCUAGUCCAGGUUGGAGCACUGAUUCUGGGGCCUUCCUGUGUUCCGGCAGCUGUGACUGUGGGCCAAGGGCCAGAGCCAAUGGCUCCCCAAGAUUGCAAAGGGGCUAGGUGUGUUUUUAGUGUGGACACCGGGCCAACGCCCCAGCUGCAGGAGCAGAGCCUGACGGGGACCCACCUUCGUGCCCUGGGGCUAUGUGCCCUUCCUCCAUCUGGACCUUCAAAUGCGGGCCCAGGAAUAGCCUGUGGGGAGGACUCACCCAGCAGGCGGGAGACCCUAAUGCCCAGCCCCGCAUUUCCUUGCCUGUGUGGCUUGCCGAGCAGGUCCUGCUGGCCUGGUGCCCCAAACCUAGAAGUCCAUGGCCAAAAGGGGUGUGUGUGGCACCCAAGGGGAGAGGACCUUCUGGGCCAGAGCCCUUGAGAAAUCUGAGGAAGGGUACUUCAAACCCAAGCUUUUCACAGCC
Molecule: long non-coding RNA, 1217 nt
Filed under: Marmota monax (woodchuck)
Lineage: Eukaryota; Metazoa; Chordata; Mammalia; Rodentia; Sciuridae
Source: RNAcentral